Russula ochroleuca is the source of this 87-nucleotide non-coding RNA. The record is from the annotation of a GenBank genome assembly. NCBI's taxonomy places the organism in Eukaryota, Fungi, Basidiomycota, Agaricomycetes, Russulales, Russulaceae.
CCUUCGAUAGCUCAGCUGGAAGAGCAUGGGACUGUAAAGGAAACCUGCGCAAUCCCAAGGUCACUGGUUCGACCCCAGUUUGGAGGA